GAUCAUGGCUCAGGAUGAACGCUAGCUACAGGCUUAACACAUGCAAGUCGAGGGGCAUCAGGAAGAAAGCUUGCUUUCUUUGCUGGCGACCGGCGCACGGGUGAGUAACACGUAUCCAACCUGCCCUUUACUCGGGGAUAGCCUUUCGAAAGAAAGAUUAAUACCGAUAGUAUAAUGAUUCCGCAUGGUUUCAUUAUUAAAGGAAUUCCGGUUAAAGGGAAUGGGGAGUGCGUUCCAUUAGGUUGUUGGUGAGGUAACGG
Molecule: ribosomal RNA, 260 nt
Filed under: uncultured bacterium
Lineage: Bacteria
Description: partial 16S ribosomal RNA
Rfam family: Bacterial small subunit ribosomal RNA
Source: RNAcentral